CCUACGGGUGGCAGCAGUGAGGAAUAUUGGUCAAUGGACGCAAGUCUGAACCAGCCAUGCCGCGUGAAGGAAGACGGCCCUAUGAGUUGUAAACUGCUUUUGUACGAGGGUAAACGCAGACACGCGUACCUGUUUGAAAGUAUUUUAUGAAUAAGGAUCGGCUAACUCCGUGCCAGCAGCCGCGGUAAUACGGAGGAUCCAAGCGUUAUCCGGAUUUAUUGGGUUUAAAGGGUGCGUAGACGGGUGGUUAAGUCAGUGGUGAAAGUCUGCGGCUCAACUGUGGAAUUGCAAUUGAUACUGGUAGGCUUGAGAGUAGUUGAGGUAGGCGGAAUGUGUGGUGUAGCGGUGAAAUGCUUAGAGAUCAUACAGAACACCGAUUGCGAAGGCAGCUUACCAAGCUGCUUCUGACAUUGAGGCACGAAAGCGUGGGGAGCAAACAGGAUUAGAUACCCUAGUAGUC
This 460-nucleotide ribosomal RNA is filed under the name uncultured bacterium. RNAcentral's name for it is "partial 16S ribosomal RNA". It matches the Rfam family "Bacterial small subunit ribosomal RNA", at positions 338 to 795 of the family's 1533-position model. The record is from RNAcentral.